Molecule: ribosomal RNA, 301 nt
Filed under: uncultured bacterium
Lineage: Bacteria
Description: partial 16S ribosomal RNA
Rfam family: Bacterial small subunit ribosomal RNA
Source: RNAcentral
CAGUCGCCGCGGUAAUACGGAGGGUGCAAGCGUUAAUCGGAAUUACUGGGCGUAAAGCGCACGCAGGCGGUCUGUCAAGUCGGAUGUGAAAUCCCCGGGCUCAACCUGGGAACUGCAUUCGAAACUGGCAGGCUAGAGUCUUGUAGAGGGGGGUAGAAUUCCAGGUGUAGCGGUGAAAUGCGUAGAGAUCUGGAGGAAUACCGGUGGCGAAGGCGGCCCCCUGGACAAAGACUGACGCUCAGGUGCGAAAGCGUGGGGAGCAAACAGGAUUAGAUACCCCCGGUAGUCCCUGUCUCUUAUA